AAAGUGGAGGCUAUUGUAACUGAAGAGAACUGGAAAGUUCCACCGUAGAAGGUAAUAGUCCUGUAAGUGAAACGAGAAGACCACGAGUUAUGAUCCAGAGUACCACGAGACACGUGAAACCUUGUGGGAAGCAGGGAGGACCACCUCCCAAGGCUAAAUACUACCUGAUGACCGAUAGUGAAGCAGUACCGUGAGGGAAAGGUGAAAAGAACCCCGGGAGGGGAGUGAAAUAGAACCUGAAACCGUGUGCCUACAACCGCUCAGAGCCCCUUAUGAGGGUGAUGAGGUGCUUUUUGUAGAACGAGCCAACGAGUUACGGUAUGUAGCAAGGUUAAGUACUUAAGGUACGGAGCCGAAGGGAAACCGAGUCUGAAUAGGGCGACUAGUUGCAUGCCGUAGACCCGAAACCGGGUGACCUAUCCAUGGCCAGGUUGAAGCGAGGGUAAAACCUCGUGGAGGACCGAACCACGUUGCUGUUGAAAAAGCAUGGGAUGAGCUGUGGAUAGCGGAGAAAUUCCAAUCGAACCCGGAGAUAGCUGGUUCUCUCCGAAAUAGCUUUAGGGCUAGCGUCGAGUAUGAGUAGUGGAGGUAGAGCACUGAAUGGGCUAGGGGGCAUAGCGCUUACCGAACCUUAUCAAACUCCGAAUGCCACAUACUUUGAGCUCGGCAGUCAGACUACGAAUGAUAAGAUCCGUGGUCAAAAGGGAAACAGCCCAGAUCGUCAGCUAAGGUCCCAAAGUGUAAGUUAAGUGGGAAAGGAUGUGAGAUUUCUAAGACAACUAGGAUGUUGGCUUAGAAGCAGCCAUUCAUUAAAAGAGUGCGUAAUAGCUCACUAGUCGAGAGAUCUUGCGCCGAAAAUGUAACGGGGCUAAACUUACCACCGAAGCUACGGGCUUGAAC
Molecule: ribosomal RNA, 900 nt
Filed under: Clostridium perfringens
Lineage: Bacteria; Bacillati; Bacillota; Clostridia; Eubacteriales; Clostridiaceae
Also listed under: 1 other name
Description: partial 23S ribosomal RNA
Rfam family: Bacterial large subunit ribosomal RNA
Source: RNAcentral